Triticum urartu is the source of this 2862-nucleotide non-coding RNA. The record is from RefSeq and is a predicted model, not a curated record. NCBI's taxonomy places the organism in Eukaryota, Viridiplantae, Streptophyta, Magnoliopsida, Poales, Poaceae.
CCCACCUCUGCCCACGCCAGUGCCACCUUCUUCCCCCAUGCCUUGUUUGAAGCUUGGAAUUUUGCCCGAAGGUUGGAUUUUUGUGCGGCGGCCUAGCGAGGUGUCCAUCCCCGAGGACCACUAGCCAUGGCGGCCGCCGUCCAUGUCUACCUCCUCCGUCAGCCUCCUCCUCGAGUGCCCCCUCCUCCGUCUGCCGCCUCGUCAACCCGGUCUCUUCUCCUCGCCGUGGCGCUCCCCCCUCUCCGCUCCUCCCUCCGCGUCGGCACCUGCCAACUACCCAGCGACCCCUGCUGGCCCUCUCGUCCGACCACCUGCUCGCUGUCAACCAUGAAGCCCUCCCCCUCCAUGGACGUCGUCGACCCAAGCACUGGGAAGCACGGGUGGUCAAGGUGGAGGAGCUCGCCGGAGCACUACGCGCUCAAGGCGUCCACAACACCUCCACGUGCUCAAGUCCAGAGCUCGCCGGAGCUUCAGAUCCAGAUGAAGGCUCAAUGCUGCAUUGUUGACUGGCACAUCAGGGGCAACCAGCAGACCAUAAAAUUACAAAUGAUUUCUCCGCGGAGCGGAAGAUUGGUGGAGGUCCAUUCGGAAACGUUUAUAAGAUGAUGGCAGAGUGAUUGCGGGGAAGAAACAUCAGCAAAACGCACCGAUGCCGCCUGACAAGACAUUCAACAAUGAGAGACUAAUGAAGAUAAUGGAUAGUGCAAAGGAGUCUAUUUGGAUAAUGGAAGGGGAAUCAGAUUGCCUCGGGGGACAAAUUUGACUAAGCCUUAGUUGUUGUUGCUGCUACAAUUUCAGCAAGCAAGCAUUUCAUCAAAGACACACAUACACAAACAUAAAUGCAGUCUUGUGGAUCCACACAGGCUGCUGCAGUUGAAGACCACACUGGAAUUUGGACUUCAGUUUAAAUUUUAGCUUCAAGUUCAUCAGAAGUUGGGAGCACAUGCAGCAUCACUGAAUUUAAAUGUGUACACUGAACUUUUACAGGCAGCAGCACUGAACUUUAACUCUUGCGGCACAGGCGGGCAGCAGCGGCGAGGGGUGGGGCGGCAAAAGGCAGCGGUGGCGGGGCUCGAUCAGGCACCCGGUCGUCUCGCCGGUGGGCAGGCCCGCGUGGCCCUGCCUGCCGGAGUCGCCAGAGAGAGGAGCGGUGGCCGCGGGCGCGAGGAAGCAGCCUGGGACGUGAGCAGCAGCAUGCACUCCUGGUCCAGGCGAUCGACACCCAGGAGCACGCAGAGCUCGAGGAGGACGACCUCAACCGGAUCACAGUGGGAGGCUCCGGCGACGCUCGGGGGGGGAUUCUUGGCAGGAGGGGAACGCGCAGAGGGGAUCGUGGCUGGAGGGGAACGCGUGGAGGUGGUCGUGGAGUGAGGGGAAUGCGUCGGCGCGGUUCCUCAGCAGCAGCGGAGCAGUUCCUGGCCGGCGCACGUCCUGGCCAGCGCAGGUGAAGAAUCCUACGACGGCACCUUUGGCGACGCGCGGAAUCGUGCAGGUGCAGAUGGGUGGCGGCGGUGGAAUCAGAGGCGCAGGUGGCGGGCGGGCGGCGGAAUCAGAGGCGCAAGUGGGCUCGUGCUAGUGGACGGCAGUGAAAUCAGCUGGUUGCGCCUGGCCAGGCGAUGCACGGGGACGACCGAGGAAGAAGAUGGAGACAUGAAUCUAUUUGAGAUAGUUUUAAAACUCGGAGGGCUUUUUUGCAAAAACACCAGUACACUUCGCGUUGGACAACUUUUUCCGGACGGAGGGAGUAGUACUAAUCUAAGCUAGGGCCGGCCACUAAUGGGCAUAGCCCAACCGGCCACACGCAUGAUGCACACAUACACACACAGGAGCACACGGCCAUGGCCAACUGUACGCACACACACUAUGCAGAACACACACUCACCCACAAAUAGCUCUGUUUUCUGCUAACAAAAGAUAGCAUUUUGUGAUUUUCAUCAAAUUUAAUCUAUGCACUAAAAGGAUUUGGUCCAAUGGAAACAUUUGAGCAUUGUCAAGUGUACUACCUCCCCAUAAUUUUUUUAGUCCUGUUAGUAGCUGUUUAGCCUGAGUUUAGGGGCUGUUUAGGGGCUUAGUCAACGUAGAAAUCCAAAAGCUAACUAGUAGCAGCUACAGUAGGUAGUAGUAGUACAAUAGAGCAGCGAGCAGCAUGGGCAGUGGCAUGGCUCGGGCGCCAUACGCGUUCGGGCGCGGCAGCCGCAACGGCAGGCGAGGCCAUACUCGGGCGGGCGCGGGGUGCGGCUCAAUGGGCGCGGUGAGGCUGGCCGACAGCAGCAGGCACGGCCGUGGGCGAGCAGGCGGCAGCACACAGUGCCAUCAGGGGCGAGCAGCGAGGACGCAACAGCAGCAAAGCAUCAGCAGCAGCCGAGCAAGUGCGGGGAUGGCUCGGGCGCGGCCGGCGCGAGGACUGGGCGGCAGCGGCAGGCGCGGGCCACAGCAGCAGCAGCGUCGCAAGCAAAGCAGCGCAGCAGCUGCACGCAUGUACGCGUACGCGAGAGUUCGAGCACGACGGUGAUGGCGGCCUACGGCAUGCAAACGAAGGGGAGGGACAGAGGGAUUGGACGGGCGGCUCACUGGGAUCCCGUAGGGGUGCAAAGGCGGGCUCAGGGAGGAUCGACAGCGCCGGAGUCGUUGACGAACGGCGACGUCCGAAGGAGGAAGGAGAGCUCGAUCCCCGCGAUGUGGGGCUCUCCAUCUUGGUCUCGUGGAUCCAGGCGACGAAGCAGACCACGGCGGGGCGGAGGGACAUGUCCUUAGGCAUCGGGGAGGAGGGUAGCCAUGCCGGCGAGGGCAACCCUGGCGACGACGGCGUCGGACGCGGUUGGAUCUGGAGGAGGGGGUGUAGCGAGAGGGGGGAGAGGAGGA